UCGGGAAUUUUGGGCAAUGGGCGAAAGCCUGACCCAGCAACGCCGCGUGAAGGAUGAAGUAUUUCGGUAUGUAAACUUCGAAAGAAUAGGAAGAAUAAAUGACGGUACUAUUUAUAAGGUCCGGCUAACUCCGUGCCAGCAGCCGCGGUAAUACGGGGGGUGCAAGCGUUAAUCGGAAUUAUUGGGCGUAAAGGGUGCGUAGGUUGUUUGAUAAGAUAUAUGUGAAAUACCUGGGCUCAACCUGGGAAGGUCAUAUAAGACUGUCAGACUCGAGUAUGGGAGAGGGUAGAGGAAUUUCCGGUGUAGCGGUGAAAUGCGUAGAUAUCGGAAGGAACAUCGGUGGCGAAGGCGUCUACCUGGCCUAAUACUGACACUGAGGCACGAAAGCGUGGGGAGCAAACAGGAUUAGAUACCCCCGUAGUCCCUGAGCGGGCUGGCAAGGCGCAU
This 447-nucleotide ribosomal RNA is filed under the name uncultured bacterium. RNAcentral's name for it is "bacterial SSU rRNA". It matches the Rfam family "Bacterial small subunit ribosomal RNA", at positions 355 to 825 of the family's 1533-position model. The record is from RNAcentral.